AACAAACAAACAAACAAAACCCUAUUUAAACUGUUUAGCAUGGUUUUGCACCAAUUUAAAUUUGGGCAUUUAUACAAGGUAUAUGUGAUUUGAUGAUGAUUAUUGAUGAAAUGAAAGAAGCUAAGACGAACGCAGCAUCUCGAUUGGAGAGAGACCUCAUGUGGUGGCGACAAAAAGGAACUGAGAGACCAUGAAGAAGAACUGUGAGUAUUCCAAAUCCCACAGAAAGGGAUAGGUGCUGAAAGUCGAGACUUGAAAGAGACUGAGAAGAAGUUGAAAGAAGGGAAACCGAUAAUUGAGGGACUGGGACCAGAAGAAUGGACAGUCUUGGUAUACCCAUGAGGACGAGGUUCCUGGAAGAGGGUGAUUCGUCCGGGGCCAGUCCAACCUCACGAGAAACCCCC
Non-coding RNA from Pogona vitticeps (central bearded dragon), 404 nucleotides. NCBI's taxonomy places the organism in Eukaryota, Metazoa, Chordata, Lepidosauria, Squamata, Agamidae. The record is from RefSeq and is a predicted model, not a curated record.